ACUACGGGUGGCAGCAGUGGGGAAUAUUGCACAAUGGGGGAAACCCUGAUGCAGCAACGCCGCGUGAGUGAAGAAGGUGUUCGGAAUGUAAAGCUCUGUUAGCAGGGAAGAGGAAGGACGGUAACUGAAGAGGAAGCCACGGCUAACUACGUGCCAGCAGCCGCGGUAAUACGUAGGUGGCAAGCGUUGUUCGGAAUAACUGGGCGUAAAGGAUGCGUAGGCGGUUAAACAAGUUAUAUGUUAAAUAUAUAGGCUUAACCUGUAGAACGCAUCUAAAACUUUUUAACUAGAGUGCAGGAGAGGUAAGUGGAAUUCCUAGUGUAGCGGUGACAUGCGUAGAGAUUAGGAAGAACACCAGUGGCGAAGGCGACUUACUGGACUGUAACUGACGCUGAGGCAUGACAGCCUGUGGAGCAAACAGGAUUAGAUACCCUGGUAGUC
This 441-nucleotide ribosomal RNA is filed under the name uncultured bacterium. RNAcentral describes it as "partial 16S ribosomal RNA". It matches the Rfam family "Bacterial small subunit ribosomal RNA", at positions 338 to 795 of the family's 1533-position model. The record is from RNAcentral.